UGGGGAAUAUUGCACAAUGGGGGAAACCCUGAUGCAGCGACGCCGAGUGAGGGAAGAAGGUUUUCGGAUUGUAAACCUCUGUCCUUGGUGAAGAUAAUGACGGUAACCAAGGAGGAAGCUACGGCUAACUACGUGCC
RNAcentral lists this ribosomal RNA (137 nucleotides) under uncultured bacterium. RNAcentral describes it as "partial 16S ribosomal RNA". It matches the Rfam family "Bacterial small subunit ribosomal RNA", at positions 355 to 509 of the family's 1533-position model. The record is from RNAcentral.